AGGCGGGAAAUGGCGACUGGCUGAAGGAGCUGGUUCUGUUGCUGCUGCGGGGUAAGCGGGAAAGACACCACACAUUGCGCAGUCGGGACCAUCGCCGGAGCCUGAGGACACUUCUCUGUCGUCACAGUUAGUUUUACAUGUGGCACCCAUAAAAGAUGAGGCUGAGAACACGGAAAGCUUCUCAGCAGUCAAAUCAAAUCCAAACACAACGCACUGCCAGAGCAAAGAGGAAAUAUUCAGAGGUUGAUGAUAGCCUGCCUUCAGGAGGAGAAAAACCAUCGAAGAAUGAAACCGGCUUGUUGUCUUCAAUUAAAAAAUUUAUUAAAGGAAGCACACCUAAGACAGAGUCUCGCUCUGUCACCCUGGCUGGAGUGCAGCUGCGCAAUCUUGGCUCACUGCAACCUCCACCUCCUGGAUUCGAGCAGUUCUCCUACCUCAGCCUCCCGAGAAGAGAGAGAAAAUCCUUCAAAACGGAGUAGAAUUGAACGUGAUAUAGAUAACAAUUUGAUCACGUCAACACCAAGAGCAGGAGAAAAACCUAACAAACAGAUAUCUCGAGUAAGACGGAAAA
Molecule: small RNA, 571 nt
Filed under: Pan troglodytes (chimpanzee)
Lineage: Eukaryota; Metazoa; Chordata; Mammalia; Primates; Hominidae
Description: processed transcript
Source: RNAcentral